UAAUUCGUCGUCUUCUGAAGA
RNAcentral lists this non-coding RNA (21 nucleotides) under Caenorhabditis elegans. Lineage: Eukaryota; Metazoa; Nematoda; Chromadorea; Rhabditida; Rhabditidae. The record is from RNAcentral.